This is a small nucleolar RNA of Arvicanthis niloticus (Nile rat), 136 nucleotides long. RefSeq annotates it as small nucleolar RNA SNORA17. NCBI's taxonomy places the organism in Eukaryota, Metazoa, Chordata, Mammalia, Rodentia, Muridae. The record is from RefSeq and is a predicted model, not a curated record.
CCCUAGGGGUCUUGCAGGUGUGUCUGCUGUGUCACAUGAGAAGAGAGGGGCUGUGUUGACGUUCAGUGUUCUGACCAGUGAACAUCUGGAUGAUGUUCUGACCUGUGAACAUCUGGAUGACUAGUAGCCUAACGUU